Long non-coding RNA from Mauremys mutica (yellowpond turtle), 1076 nucleotides. RefSeq lists it as uncharacterized. Lineage: Eukaryota; Metazoa; Chordata; Testudines; Geoemydidae. The record is from RefSeq and is a predicted model, not a curated record. The transcript is spliced from 4 exons.
GAGAACCUAUGUUGGCUGGAUGUACUUGCUACCUGAUUGCUGCUGGAGUGAGAAACUUUUUCAUGUCAGUUACCCCUGAAGGAGUGUGAGUGACUGAUUCUGACUAGACCCAAGAGCUAUGCAUAGUGCAAGAUUGGGUUCCAGAAGCAUCCAUCUAUCAGCAGCAGUGGGUUCUACUACAUGACAGUACUAUGAUGUGAUUGAUGCAAGUGCACUUGCAUCCUCCUGAGGCUUCUCAGCAUGACUCAUCAUAAAGUCAGAGGGAUUUGGAAAGAUCCUGGCUUUCCAGGGAAGAAAAAUCCUCCAUUUGGAGAGAGAUGAUCUGCCUUAUUUAAAUGGGAUGCAAAUACAGGUGACUGACUGCUAGACCUGCUCAAUGGAGAGCCCUCUCUGUUCCAGAUGUGUCUCUUUGGAGCCCAACACCUGCUGGAACCCAGGACUCUGAAGAGUGCAUUUAUUUUGCCACCUGAUAAAUCAUGGAAGCGUUGAUACUGACAGCAAGACUCUCUCUUUUUUGCUGUGUAAUACAAGUAAUUAUUACUGUUAUUGGCAAGGUCAAUGAACAAUACAUGGAGUUCUGUGUUGAUCUGUGGGUGCAUAUUGAGUUGUGUGUUGAUCAGCAUCACAUAUGGGUCAAAGCCUAUGGUUUUCUAGCCUGUGCUGUCUAAGGUCAUUCAUGCUUAACUAACCCUACUGUUUUUGACCCAUAUAAAGCCUUAUAAAAACUACUGUUUAAAAAAAAACAAACCUUAAAAAUCAAUACAAUCAAUAAAAAGCAAUCUCAUUUUUUACCAGCUGAAGCAAAAGCUGCCUGUCUAACCUUGGGCAGUCAUCAGUCCAUGUCAGUCAUAUUUCUUUCCCACCCGACAGGCCCUAGAUUGCAAGCUGCAACAGCUCAGAGGUACUUUCCAUCAUUUCCCCUAUCAGGUUUACCCUUCCUUCUUUUGAAAUCAUUUUGCCUCUGUUGUAUUGCAAGCUUGAGGGAAAAAUAGGAGUCAUAUGGAAAAUUCUAAACUCUUUUCUCUUGUGCUAGCCACAACAUUUUGAAAGGAUGUCUAGUGCUGUGGAGAUUAUAA